Molecule: ribosomal RNA, 462 nt
Filed under: uncultured bacterium
Lineage: Bacteria
Description: partial 16S ribosomal RNA
Rfam family: Bacterial small subunit ribosomal RNA
Source: RNAcentral
GACGAACGCUGGCGGCGUGCUUAACACAUGCAAGUCGAGCGGAAAGGCCCUUCGGGGUCCUCGAGCGGCGAACGGGUGAGUAACGCGUGAGUAACCUGCCCCAGACUUUGGGAUAACCCUCGGAAACGGGGGCUAAUACCGGAUACGACACAGCUUCGCAUGGGGUCUGUGUGGAAAGUUUUUCGGUUUGGGAUGGGCUCGCGGCCUAUCAGCUUGUUGGUGGGGUGAUGGCCUACCAAGGCGACGACGGGUAGCCGGCCUGAGAGGGCGACCGGCCACACUGGGACUGAGAAACGGCCCAGACUCCUACGGGAGGCAGCAGUGGGGAAUAUUGCACAAUGGGCUGAAGCCUGAUGCAGCGACGCCGCGUGAGGGAUGACGGCCUUCGGGUUGUAAACCUCUUUCAGCAGGGACGAAGCGUAAGUGACGGUACCUGCAGAAGAAGCGCCGGCCAACUACGUG